This 546-nucleotide ribosomal RNA is filed under the name Vanrija musci. Its description in RNAcentral is "eukaryotic LSU rRNA". It matches the Rfam family "Eukaryotic large subunit ribosomal RNA", at positions 113 to 650 of the family's 3401-position model. Lineage: Eukaryota; Fungi; Basidiomycota; Tremellomycetes; Trichosporonales; Trichosporonaceae. The record is from RNAcentral.
UUUGUAAUCUGGCGUCCUUCGGGCGUCCGAGUUGUAAUCUAUAGAAGUGUUUUCCGUGCCGGACCAUGUCCAAGUCCCUUGGAACAGGGUAUCAAAGAGGGUGACAAUCCCGUACUUGACAUGACCACCGGUGCUCUGUGAUACACUUUCUACGAGUCGAGUUGUUUGGGAAUGCAGCUCAAAAUGGGUGGUAAAUUCCAUCUAAAGCUAAAUAUUGGCGAGAGACCGAUAGCGAACAAGUACCGUGAGGGAAAGAUGAAAAGCACUUUGGAAAGAGAGUUAAACAGUACGUGAAAUUGUUGAAAGGGAAACGAUUGAAGUCAGUCGUGUUCUUUGGACUCAGCCGGUUCUUCCGGUCUAUUUCCUUUGAACGGGUCAACAUCAGUUUUGUCCGGUGGAUAAAGGCAGGAAGAAAGUGGCUCCCUCGGGAGUGUUAUAGCUUUCUGUCACAUACACUGGAGGAGACUGAGGACUGCAGCUCGCCUUUUGGCCGGGGUUCGCCCACGUUCGAGCUUAGGAUGUUGACAUAAUGGCUUUAAACGACCC